GAUCAUGGCUCAGAAUGAACGUUGGCGGUGCGCCUAACACAUGCAAGUCGAGCGGAAGUAAUUCAGCGGCAGACGGGUGAGUAACGCGUGGGAAUCUGCCCUUUAGUGAGGAAUACCUUCGAGAAAUCGGAGUUAAUACUGCAUACGUCCCUUCGUAAGAAGGGAGAAAGAUGGCCUCUUUGCUGUCGCUAAAGGAUGAGCCUGCGUACUAUUAGCUAGUUGGUAGGGUAAUGGCCUACCAAGGCGAUGAUGGUUAGCCGGCCUGAGAGGGUGAUCCGCCACAUUGGAACUGAGACACGGUCCAGACUCCUACGGGAGGCAGCAGUGAGGAAUAUUGCGCAAUGGGCGAAAGCCUGACGCAGCGACACCGCGUGAAGGAUGAAGGCUUUAGGGUCGUAAACUUCUGUUAAGUGGGAAGAAAAAAGUAGUCCUAAUACGACCAAGAAAUGACGGUACCACUAGAGAAAGCACCGGCUAACUUCGUG
RNAcentral lists this ribosomal RNA (485 nucleotides) under uncultured bacterium. RNAcentral's name for it is "bacterial SSU rRNA". It matches the Rfam family "Bacterial small subunit ribosomal RNA", at positions 15 to 507 of the family's 1533-position model. The record is from RNAcentral.